GUGAGCCUACGGGACGCAGCAGUAGGGAAUCUUCGGCAAUGGGGGCAACCCUGACCGAGCAACGCCGCGUGAGUGAAGAAGGUCUUCGGAUCGUAAACCUCUGUUGUAAGAGAAGAACGUGUGUGAGAGUGGAAAGUUCACACAGUGACGGUAACUUACCAGAAAGGGACGGCUAACUACGUGCCAGCAGCCGCGGUAAUACGUAGGUCCCGAGCGUUAUCCGGAUUUAUUGGGCGUAAAGCGAGCGCAGGCGGUUGGAUAAGUCUGAAGUCAAAGGC
This 278-nucleotide ribosomal RNA is filed under the name uncultured bacterium. RNAcentral describes it as "partial 16S ribosomal RNA". It matches the Rfam family "Bacterial small subunit ribosomal RNA", at positions 332 to 602 of the family's 1533-position model. The record is from RNAcentral.